CUGGGGAGUACGGUCGCAAGAUUAAAACUCAAAGGAAUUGACGGGGACCCGCACAAGCGGUGGAUGAUGUGGAUUAAUUCGAUGCAACGCGAAAAACCUUACCUACCCUUGACAUGGAAGGAAUCCUUGAGAGAUUGAGGAGUGCCCGAAAGGGAACCUUUACACAGGUGCUGCAUGGCUGUCGUCAGCUCGUGUCGUGAGAUGUUGGGUUAAGUCCCGCAACGAGCGCAACCCUUGCCAUUAAUUGCCAUCAUUUAGUUGGGCACUUUAAUGGGACUGCCGGUGACAAACCGGAGGAAGGUGGGGAUGACGUCAAGUCCUCAUGGCCCUUAUGGCCAGGGCUUCACACGUAAUACAAUGGUCGGUACAGAGGGUUGCCAACCCGCGAGGGGGAGCCAAUCCCAGAAAGCCGAUCGUAGUCCGGAUUGCAGGCUGCAACUCGCCUGCAUGAAGUCGGAAUCGCUAGUAAUCGCGGAUCAGCAUGUCGCGGUGAAUACGUUCCCGGGCCUUGUACACACCGCCCGUCACACCAUGGGAGUGGGUUUUACCAGAAGUAGGUAGUCUAACCGCAAGGGGGACGCUUACCACGGUAGUAUCCAUGACUGGGGUGAAGU
This 614-nucleotide ribosomal RNA is filed under the name uncultured bacterium. Its description in RNAcentral is "bacterial SSU rRNA". It matches the Rfam family "Bacterial small subunit ribosomal RNA", at positions 873 to 1486 of the family's 1533-position model. The record is from RNAcentral.